GAUGAAGAACGUAGCGAAAUGCGAUAAGUAAUGUGAAUUACAGAAUUCAGUGAAUCAUCGAAUCUUUGAACGCACCUUGCGCCUUUUGGUAUUCCGAAAGGCACACCUGUUUGAGCGUCAUGAAUACCUCAAUCUCCAUCUUUUCUUCGGAUUGAUGGGUGACUUGGAUGUUGAGCCCUGCUGGUAUGCUAUAUCAGCUGGCUUUAAACUUAUUAGCCGGCUCUGUACUGGAUCGGUUUGACUCGACGUGAUAAUAUUAUCGUUGAGGAUGCAUGUCUCAUGCAGCCGGAAAGUAUCAAAGCAGCUUCUAGCUUGCCUUUAGUGCACUUUUACAUUUUAGACCUCAGAUCAGGUGGGACUACCCGCUGAACUUAAGCAUAUCAAUAAGCGGAGGA
Molecule: unclassified non-coding RNA, 395 nt
Filed under: soil metagenome
Description: partial contains 5.8S ribosomal RNA, internal transcribed spacer 2, and large subunit ribosomal RNA
Rfam family: 5.8S ribosomal RNA (bases 1-120)
Source: RNAcentral